AGUGAACGCUGGCGGUAGGCCUAACACAUGCAAGUCGAACGGCAGCACAGUAAGAGCUUGCUCUUACGGGUGGCGAGUGGCGGACGGGUGAGGAAUACAUCGGAAUCUACUUUUUCGUGGGGGAUAACGUAGGGAAACUUACGCUAAUACCGCAUACGACCUACGGGUGAAAGCAGGGGAUCUUCGGACCUUGCGCGAUUGAAUGAGCCGAUGUCGGAUUAGCUAGUUGGCGGGGUAAAGGCCCACCAAGGCGACGAUCCGUAGCUGGUCUGAGAGGAUGAUCAGCCACACGGGAACUGAGACACGGUCCAGACUCCUACGGGAGGCAGCAGUGGGGAAUAUUGGACAAUGGGCGCAAGCCUGAUCCAGCCAUACCGCGUGGGUGAAGAAGGCCUUCGGGUUGUAAAGCCCUUUUGUUGGGAAAGAAAAGCAGCAGGUUAAUACCCCGCUGUUCUGACGGUACCCAAAGAAUAAGCACCGGCCAACUUCGUG
Molecule: ribosomal RNA, 492 nt
Filed under: uncultured bacterium
Lineage: Bacteria
Description: partial 16S ribosomal RNA
Rfam family: Bacterial small subunit ribosomal RNA
Source: RNAcentral